CCCCCCGAGGGGCGCUGCAAGCCCGGCCCGCGCAACGCGGACCCGCCGGGAUCAGGCUCGGGGCCGGGUUCCUGAACAACCGCGCCCGUUGACC
This 94-nucleotide non-coding RNA is filed under the name Arenimonas composti. RNAcentral describes it as "SAH sequence". It matches the Rfam family "SAH (S-adenosyl-L-homocysteine) riboswitch aptamer". RNAcentral also lists the same sequence under 1 other name. Lineage: Bacteria; Pseudomonadati; Pseudomonadota; Gammaproteobacteria; Lysobacterales; Lysobacteraceae. The record is from RNAcentral.